Molecule: ribosomal RNA, 369 nt
Filed under: uncultured bacterium
Lineage: Bacteria
Description: bacterial SSU rRNA
Rfam family: Bacterial small subunit ribosomal RNA
Source: RNAcentral
GUAGGGUGCAAGCGUUAAUCGGAAUUACUGGGCGUAAAGCGUGCGCAGGCGGUGAUGUAAGACAGAUGUGAAAUCCCCGGGCUCAACCUGGGACCUGCAUUUGUGACUGCAUCGCUAGAGUACGGCAGAGGGGGAUGGAAUUCCGCGUGUAGCAGUGAAAUGCGUAGAUAUGCGGAGGAACACCGAUGGCGAAGGCAAUCCCCUGGGCCUGUACUGACGCUCAUGCACGAAAGCGUGGGGAGCAAACAGGAUUAGAUACCCUGGUAGUCCACGCCCUAAACGAUGUCAACUGGUUGUUGGGAAUUCACUUUCUCAGUAACGAAGCUAACGCGUGAAGUUGACCGCCUGGGGAGUACGGCCGCAAGGUUG